UACUCCAGCCUGGGCAACGGAGUGAGACUCUGUCUCAAAAAAGAAGAAGAAGAAAAAAAAGAAUAAAUAUUUGGAGAUGGAAUUGUUAGGUCAUAGGGUGGAUGUAUGCUGUACCUCACUUUAAAAAUAUAUUUGUAUUGUUAAAGCCUGAUUUGAAAAUUUAGGAGGGAAAGUCACCCACAAUCCUGUUUCCCUAAUGCAGAGCCCCUGACUAACAGAGCCCUUGGCCACUGAGCCCUUUUCACAUAGUGAUCAUGAUGCCCUUACCUUUUUCAUAUAGUGAAUGUUGUCAUGCUAUGGAGAAUGCUUACAGCAAGAGCUGUGGUAGGUAUAUAUGGGAGGCAAAUUGAGCCAAUAAGCAAAGUUGCUAUUUAUAUACCCUUUUAUAUUACUCUGUAUGAUGUAAUUUUGAAUAAAUGAACAUGUUAGAAAGGAAAAGGUGAUAAGUAAAUUUAUUUUUCCUAGUGUAAAAGUAAUGUUUUCAGUUAAGAAAUAAAAAAAUAAGUAUGAAAAAGAACAAAGACCUUCCAUAAUACUAACUGUAGAUAACUAAACUAUAGACCUUAUUUGAAUUUCACCAAUUUUUCCUGUAUUGUUCUUUUUCUACUCCAGAAUCCAAUCUCACAUUUCAUUUAUUUGUUCUCUUCUUAGUCUCCCUCUAUCUGUGACAAUUCCUACUUUCCUGGCUUUCAUGACCUUGACACUUUUGAUGAGUACUGGCUAAUUGUCUUUAGGAUGUCUUUUAAUAUGGGUUUGUCUAAUUUUUUUUUUCAUGAUUAGGUUGACAUUAUCCAUUUUUUAAAUCACUGAAGUGAUGUUUCUGAUUGUGUCCUUCUCAAUAUAUCAUAUGGGGGUGGCAUGAUGUUGAGAUCAUUUAUUACUGGUCAUGUUAACCUUGAUCAUUUUGUUAAGGUGGUGUCUGCCAGGUUUCCACCUUCAAAAUUGACUGUUUUUUUGUUUUUUUUUUUUUUUUUAAAUUCAUGAAUAUUUUGGGUUAGAUAUUUUGAGACUAUGCUACUAUGUCUCCUCAAACUUGCACCCAAUGAUUUUAGCAUCUACUGGUUCAUCUUGCCUGUAAUAGUUAUUGUAUUGGUAUUUAUUCUAUAGUGACUUUAUACUUCCUUCACCUAACUUAUUGGUUGAAAUUAUUCUGUGUGAACCAGCUGUUCCGUCUUUCUCAUUAGUUCUUUAUUCAAUCAUUUAAUAGUAUGGACUCAUGGAUGUUUAUUCUAUAGGUUAUAAUUCAAUACUAUAAUUAUUUUGUUGCUCAAAUUGUUCAGCUUUGGUUAUUGAAAGCCCGUUUAGGUCAGCUCUUGUGUGACUUUGAUAUGCCUUCACCAUCUUUUGGGCAAUUUAUUUUCUGGCCCCACAAGAUGUUCCAGGCUUAUCUGGAAUGAACCACUUCUCCAAAGAGCCCUAGGUCUUGGGCCCUAGGUUUCUGUCAGAGAAGUGGUUGAUUCCAGGGUGUCCUUGCAUCUAGGUCCUCUCAGCCAAUAGAGCCAGAAAUACCUGUAUGAAUCCUAACCCAUACACACACACACAGCCCUAUAAUUCUGUGUUUUUUUGCCUUUAUUUGUAUGUGGAAAAUCACGAGUUCAUACUGAUAUCUCUGACACCAUUCCAACUCUGUAAGUUUCAUUCUUGUUUCCCUUUUUCCUUUUUUGUAACUGCUUUCUCCAGCAGUGAGAAACCUGGCUCUCAUUAGUUUCAAUAAACUCAUUUACUUGUUCAGUCCUAGUGUACCCAUAAAAUAGUCGCAGGAUUCUUAACCCAUACCCCUGUGAGAAAGAUAUUUACUGACUAGCGUACAGUACUUGCGUAUAGUUCUUUUUGUUUUUAGCCUUACCGUAUCUAGUCAAAACACUGUUCUCCAAAGCUAGGUUAGCUACUGUAUUUUCUUCCUCAGCCCCUUUAGUGUGGUUUCCUCAUUCAUUUGUAAUACAGCUAUGCUUAUUUAUUAGUGCUUGUAUUUCAUUUUGGAUUCUGCACACAUGUUGAUUGAUUUUGAUUAUUUAUUGGGAGAAUGUGAAAUAUUACUGAUUUUAAGAGUGAAAACUGUUACACAAAAAGGCAUUCUACUUGGUUUAACAAGUCCAAAAGAGAAUUCCUGAUUUUCUUCCCCAAACCUGCUUUUUCACCUAACCUUCUUUAUCUCAGUAAGUAACACCGUCCCAAAGCAACAGGCAGCCCAUUAAUAAGUUGUUUGUUCUAUUCCAAAGUGCAUUCAAAGUAGGAUUGCUUGUUGCCGUCUCAGCUGCUACAGCUCAGCUCUAGGGUAGUCUGUGAUUUUCUGGGCUAGACUGCUGUAGCAGCCUCCUUAACUGGUUUCUCCCUAUCUGUCCUUUCUUCGCACAAUAGUCAGAGUGAUCUUUUAAACAUGUAAAUCAGGUUGCCCCAUGGGCUUGGUUUGUGAGAAAGGGCCUGGUCCAGUCUGUCAGGACUACGGAGGCUUGUUUCUUGCCAUCCUUUCCACCUUGGGUUUACAGAGGCUUGUUUCUUGCCAUCCUUUCCACCUUGGGUUUACGCACUUCUCACCUCCAUCUGGCUGGGUGUGGGGAAGACCUGCCAGAGCCACAGAAGACAAGGUCGUUCCCAUUGCCAACUAAAUGGACAAGAUGGUGCAGAAGAAUACAGCUGAUGCAUUGGAUUUGCCAAAGGAGCUUAAAAGUAUUCCCAUGACCUUGGAAUUAUUACAGCCCAGAGAAGAAUCAGAAUAUCAGUUAAUGCUAAUGGCAAGCAGCAUAAAGAGGAAGAAGUUAUAUCUUCAACAGUCUGUCAUGAAAUCUGGGAAAAAGUUACUAUCAACCAAGAAAGACCCUGAAGAAAAGAAAAAAGAACCUGUAGUAACAUUGCAGAAUAGCCCUGAAGCGAGAGAAGAAAGUAGCUCCGGUGGCAAUGCAAGCAGCAGAAAGGGUGAGACAAAUGCUCUAGAUACUCGUGUUUCAUCCUUUAUUCAGGAAUGAAGCACUUCUGACCCUGCUUGGUUAAAGUGUUGGGAGGUGCUUGCUGCAGCUCUCGGAACAGGAGAUGGCUACACUGCUAUUGGAACUGGUGAGGAAGAAUUAGGAUCUCAAAUUGAGGAGACUGCAUAUCAAGAAAUUAAGGAAUAUAGAUACAAAAUGCAAAGGUGGAGUAUGAAGUAGGAUAUCAAAUCUUAAAGAGCAAAGAAUCCAAAUUUAAGGGAAAAUGUACCAUGUGAGAAUAUUCCUAAUGUCUUAUUUGCUAGAAUGAUGGCACAGGAAAUGUCCAGUGAUGGGCUCAGAGAGAUAUGGAAAAACUUGACCAAAGAAGCCAUCAGAGAGCAUUAGGUGACCAAGGCAAGUGGAACCCAGAGUGGCUUGUUCACAUAUACAGAUAUAGUGCUGAUGGACUGAUAACAUUUGUUGUCUGUAAUGAAUGUGGACGUCAGUGGAAGUUCUGUUGAGCUGGAAUAACUACCAAAAUAUCUGGACUAUUUAGAAAUUAGAUUUUGUAUGUUCAUUGCAGCACUAUUCACAGUAGCAAAGACUUGGAAUCAACCAUGAUUGAUGCCCAUCAGUGGUAGACUGGAUGAUGAAAAUGUGGUACAUA
Macaca mulatta (Rhesus monkey) is the source of this 3570-nucleotide non-coding RNA. The record is from RefSeq and is a predicted model, not a curated record. NCBI's taxonomy places the organism in Eukaryota, Metazoa, Chordata, Mammalia, Primates, Cercopithecidae.